Long non-coding RNA from Oncorhynchus tshawytscha (Chinook salmon), 745 nucleotides. The record is from Ensembl. Lineage: Eukaryota; Metazoa; Chordata; Actinopteri; Salmoniformes; Salmonidae.
GUCUCUGGCUGGGUGGAGGACUCUCAGUUAGACUGGACAGGCCUCUGGCUGGGUGGAGGCUGUUAGACUGGACAGGCCUCUGGCUGGGUGGAGGACUCUCAGUUACUGGACAGGCCUCUGGCUGGGUGGAGGACUCUCAGUUAGACUGGACAGGUCUCUGGCUGGGUGGAGGACUCUCAGUUAGACUGGACAGGUCUCUGGCUGGGUGGAGGACUCUCAGUUAGACUGGACAGGUCUCUGGCUGGGUGGAGGACUCUCAGUUAGACUGGACAGGCCUCUGGCUGGGUGGAGGACUCUCAGUUAGACUGGACAGGUCUCUGGCUGGGUGGAGGACUCUCAGUUAGACUGGACAGGCCUCUGGCUGGGUGGAGGACUCUCAGUUAGACUGGACAGGUCUCUGGCUGGGUGGAGGACUCUCAGUUAGACUGGACAGGCCUCUGGCUGGGUGGAGGACUCUCAGUUAGACUGGACAGGCUGGGUGGAGGACUCUCAGUUAGACUGGACAGGCUGGGUGGAGGACUCUCAGUUAGACUGGACAGGUCUCUGGCUGGGUGGAGGACUCUCAGUUAGACUGGACAGGCAUCUGGCUGGGUGGAGGACUCUCAGUUAGACUGGACAGGCUGGGUGGAGGACUCUCAGUUAGACUGGACAGGUCUCUGGCUGGGUGGAGGACUCUCAGUUAGACUGGACAGGUCUCUGGCUGGGUGGAGGACUCUCAGUUAGACUGGACAGGCCUCUGGCUGGG